RNAcentral lists this ribosomal RNA (465 nucleotides) under uncultured bacterium. Its description in RNAcentral is "partial 16S ribosomal RNA". It matches the Rfam family "Bacterial small subunit ribosomal RNA", at positions 338 to 795 of the family's 1533-position model. The record is from RNAcentral.
CCUACGGGGGGCAGCAGUGGGGAAUAUUGCGCAAUGGGCGAAAGCCUGACGCAGCGACGCCGCGUGAGGGAUGAAGGUCUUCGGAUCGUAAACCUCUGUCAGCAGGGAAGAACGGUCACUGUGCUAAUCAGCAGUGAAUUGACGGUACCUGCAAAGGAAGCACCGGCUAACUCCGUGCCAGCAGCCGCGGUAAUACGGAGGGUGCGGGCGUUAAUCGGAAUUACUGGGCGUAAAGCGCUCGUAGGCGGUAUGUCAAGUAAAGGGUGAAAUCCCCGCGCUGAACGUGGGAACUGCCUUUGAAACUGGCAAACUGGAGUGUGUGAGGGGAUAGUGGAAUUCCAGGUGUAGGAGUGAAAUGCGUAGAGAUCUGGAGGAACACCAGUGGCGAAGGCGACUAUCUGGCACAUAACUGACGCUGAGGAGCGAAAGCGUGGGUAGCAAACAGGAUUAGAUACCCUGGUAGUC